UACGGGAGGCAGCAGUGGGGAAUAUUGCACAAUGGGCGAAAGCCUGAUGCAGCUAUGCCGCGUGUAUGAAGAAGGCCUUAGGGUUGUAAAGCUCUUUUAGUGAGAAAGAUAAUGACGGUACUCACAGAAGAAGUCCUGGCUAACUCCGUGCCAGCAGCCGCGGUAAUACGGAGAGGGCUAGCGUUAUUCGGAAUUAUUGGGCGUAAAGAGCGCGUAGGCUGAUUAGUAAGUUAAAAGUGAAAUCCCAAAGCUUAACUUUGGAAUUGCUUUUUAAAACUGCUAGUCUAGAGAUUGAAAGAGGAUAGAGGAAUUCCUAGUGUAGAGGUGAAAUUCGUAAAUAUUAGGAGGAACACCAGUGGCGAAGGCGUCUAUCUGGUUCAAAUCUGACGCUGAGGGCGCGAAGGCGUGGGGAGCAAACAGGGAUUAGAUACC
RNAcentral lists this ribosomal RNA (432 nucleotides) under uncultured bacterium. RNAcentral describes it as "bacterial SSU rRNA". It matches the Rfam family "Bacterial small subunit ribosomal RNA", at positions 340 to 786 of the family's 1533-position model. The record is from RNAcentral.